AAAGCAAAUGUUGGGUGAACGGC
RNAcentral lists this non-coding RNA (23 nucleotides) under Gallus gallus (chicken). RNAcentral also lists the same sequence under 1 other name. Lineage: Eukaryota; Metazoa; Chordata; Aves; Galliformes; Phasianidae. The record is from RNAcentral.